UGUACACGCUGUGACUAGCAUAUCAAUAAGCGGAGGAAAAGAAACUAACAAGGAUUCCCCUAGUAACGGCGAGUGAAGCGGGAAGAGCUCAAAUUUGAAAUCUUAAAGGGUUUCCCUUUACGAAUUGUAGUUUAAAGAAGUGUUUUCUGUUGAGGUUUUGGUAAAAGUUCUUUGGAAUAGGACAUCAUAGAGGGUGAGAAUCCCGUAUUUGACCCUUUACUUUCAACUUUGUGAUACACUUUCAAAGAGUCGGAUUGUUUGGGGAUGCAGUCCAAAAUGGGUGGUAAAUUUCAUCUAAAGCUAAAUAUUGGCGAGAGACCGAUAGCGAACAAGUACCGUGAGGGAAAGAUGAAAAGAACUUUGAAAAGAGAGUUAAACAGUACGUGAAAUUGUCAAAAGGGAAGCGUUUGACACCAGUGUUGUUUUUCUGAAAAUCAGUUAAAGAACUGUUUAUGCUAAGUUGUUUAGACUUUAUCAGCUAUACUGUUUAGUUUUGAGCUUUUCUUUAAUGCACUUUUCAGUUAACAAGUCAACAUCAAUUUCUUUUGCUGUAAAAAAGCUUGAGGAAGGUGGCUUGAGAUUCGUCUUAAGUGUUUAUAGCCUCUUGCCUAUGCAGUCGGAGAGAUUGAGGUCUGCAGCGUAGAUCCUUCGGGGCUAAUGCAUUUGUGCUAAGUUAUAGCAUUUUAUAGACAACUUGUUGACUAUGAUUUGUCUUGUAAGCUUACUCGCUUAUGUUAUUUUACCUACGCUUAGGAUGUUGACGAGACUGUCGAUCUC
Molecule: ribosomal RNA, 777 nt
Filed under: uncultured Neocallimastigales
Lineage: Eukaryota; Fungi; Neocallimastigomycota; Neocallimastigomycetes; Neocallimastigales
Description: partial large subunit ribosomal RNA
Rfam family: Eukaryotic large subunit ribosomal RNA
Source: RNAcentral